GUUCUUGAGCAUGAAAAAGACCAGACUGCAUGUCCCAUCCACAUCGCCUUCAAUCUCAACCCAACUCCGGCGGCAAGCUCAAGUUUCAGACCGUGGAGCUGCAGCAGGAGGGACAGGACGAUGGUUAAUACAGACCUGCUGACCUCCGUCUUCGUCUCCAUUUCUUCCCGAGCUCUGAUUCUCAAGGUCGGCUGGCGCGCUCAUUCCCACUGGAUUUGAUUGUUGGGUGGAUAAUGAUAUUCUUAUACGGAAGGUUGCAAAGGCUGGAACCCAUGAAGGAGAAUGUUUGAUAAAUUAGAACGUGAGCUCGGUGAGAGAAGGGAUUUGCUUUUCUUCACUGCUGUAUCCUGGGUGCAAAGAACAAAGCUUGGCUUGAAAUGAAUGCUCAGUAAAUAUUUGUUGUAUUAACUGGGAGAAGUAUUUUGCUUAUCUAGAACUAAACAAUUCUCAAAUACUUUCAAAAGCAUUUACCAAUGACUGCCACUUAUACUUAUUUUGAGGCUAGCAUAUCAUUUCUUCAUUAAAAGGUGUUGGCACAUUCA
This is a long non-coding RNA of Mirounga angustirostris (Northern elephant seal), 542 nucleotides long. RefSeq lists it as uncharacterized. The record is from RefSeq and is a predicted model, not a curated record. Lineage: Eukaryota; Metazoa; Chordata; Mammalia; Carnivora; Phocidae. The transcript has 2 exons.